GUUCUUUGCAGACUUAAGCAAGCAAAUUUCUCUACUAAUCAUGGAAGAUGAUGAGGACUCAGUUGCAAAUUAUCCUUCAGUUUCUUUCCAGAAUUUCUCAAGAGCGAAUUACCCAACAGCACCAUCGCCAUUUAUGUAUGAGCAAAGAAGAGAAAGCAAAGGAACAGGAGUUUUCAUUCCAAGGUCAUCACAGCCAAGAAGGAAACACAGGCAAGCAAGACAUUCUUCAUUCAACGCAAAAUCUCAUAGGCAG
RNAcentral lists this unclassified non-coding RNA (253 nucleotides) under Hevea brasiliensis (rubber tree). The record is from RNAcentral. Lineage: Eukaryota; Viridiplantae; Streptophyta; Magnoliopsida; Malpighiales; Euphorbiaceae.